Molecule: long non-coding RNA, 1435 nt
Filed under: Pogona vitticeps (central bearded dragon)
Lineage: Eukaryota; Metazoa; Chordata; Lepidosauria; Squamata; Agamidae
Description: lncRNA (ENSPVIG00000012133.1)
Source: RNAcentral
AGGAAGCCCUGCAGGAAACAACAGGUGGGCUCUACCUGCAGACCCCCUGGAGCUGUUUUGACCCCCCCUUGGACCAGGCCGGGACUUCUCUUUGUGAUUCCUUGACCUCCAGCAUUGUGACUGCGGGUCCCGACGGCUUCUCUGGCUUCUGACCUUGGGCUGGGUUAUCCCACUCUGCCUUUCGUUUACGGAAGUAAAUCGUGACAAAGUGCGCUUGGAGAGGCCCCGUUUCACCACGAAGGGGACAAACGAGCGCAACCUCGUUCCACGACCACCACAGCCGAACCAAGAUAUGCUGGCAGACCUGCAGAUCUGGAAGGAUAAACCUUUCUUAUACGUGCUGAAUCUUUUUACGCUUCCAGAUGCACGUUGGGAUUCAUGGACAUAUUCCACUUUAUCGGUGUCCCUUACAAAUCUACUUUUGAAUGUCUGCUUUGAGAUCAGCUGCUCUGAAAUCAGUGACAUUGUGUCUGGUGAAACUGUUCUUGUGCUGCCUUUGUUACGUGAAGCAUUUCUGUGGUUAUAUUAGUGUCUGUUUCCUUGUCUAGAGAUGGUGUUGAGAGAAUUGGUCGUGCGUCUAUAUAGUAAUUGCUCCAGACAUCAUGUUGAAGCCAUAUUGUCUGAGGGGCUACAGUCGUGAUAGAAAUCAGAACAUUCAAAGGCACCAAAUUGAUGGGAACCCCCAAGACAGGGAUCAAAACAGAUGUGCUAAUUAGCACGUCCUCGUUAGGGGUAAACAUGCACAAACCCUCUGCAAAAUUGCCCUGGAGGCAGGCGCUUCCUUAACAGACAGGGAAAGUGAUGAGCGUGCAAGGAUCGCACACUGUGAUUUUGACACCCGGUUUCUGAGCACAGCUCUCACCAUUGGCAUCGCUUGUCUUGGUUUAAAUAUCUGCAUUGCCUAAUUGACUGGAAGACAAAGCUUGGGAAAAACCUUCGGACAGCGCCUUCAGCCAGCAUGGCUGCUGCCCACACAGGCCAGGGAACUCGACGAGGUGCAGUUCAAAAAAGUAACUUCUCUGAGUUCCACUUCAAUGUUGAGUUUCGACAGUGGGUCAGGAAUCCCAGGGGAGCCCCCCUCCCUCCUGUUCUCCUCCUGCUCUUCUCCUCCCUGAUCUUUCGCAGAAAGAGGGACUAGCCGGGUCAGAUAAGUGGAUAGUUGGAGCUUCUGAAGGCAGCCCACCGGUGCCGUCGCCCCUCCUGGAUGAACGGGUGGCUGUUUUCACCCUCCGUGAGCUGGCUUUUGCGCUGCUUGAACAUUUCAGUGCGUUUCUUCAUGCAGAUGAGUUUGGAGAGAAAAUACAUUUAAAAAGGCAUAUGCAUGUGUCUGUCUGUCUCGCUCUCUUUGUGUGUGUGCGUGUGUGUGUGUGAGAGAGAGAGAGCAUGUGGGAGGGAGAGGGAGGAUGAGAGAAAUAAGUUUAGAAGCAUGCGUUUU